GACGUAGGGCGCGAGCGUUGUCCGGAUUUAUUGGGCGUAAAGAGCUCGUAGGCGGCUUGUCGCGUCGACUGUGAAAACCCGCGGCUCAACUGCGGGCCUGCAGCCGAUACGGGCAGGCUAGAGUUCGGUAGGGGAGACUGGAAUUCCUGGUGUAGCGGUGAAAUGCGCAGAUAUCAGGAGGAACACCGAUGGCGAAGGCAGGUCUCUGGGCCAUAACUGACGCUGAGAGGAGAAAGCAUGGGGAGCGAACAGG
This 253-nucleotide ribosomal RNA is filed under the name uncultured bacterium. RNAcentral's name for it is "partial 16S ribosomal RNA". It matches the Rfam family "Bacterial small subunit ribosomal RNA", at positions 524 to 776 of the family's 1533-position model. The record is from RNAcentral.